UUUGUGUUUUAGGAGAGCUCACGCCAGAAAGGAAGUCCUAGACGAAGGAAACAUGCUACCUUAAUUAACAUGCAAACGAGAGACUAUACGAAGUCUAGCAAUCCUAUGGGGAUACAACAAGCAAGUCUCAAGAGAGACCAAAAACUGGAAAUGGAAUUCCAAUCGUUGGGCUUACAUCCAACUCCAAAAACAGACGGGAAACAGAUAGCCAAUCGCUGGUCUUACAUCUGACUCCACAUGCUAAGUAAACAAGCAAUCAAGCAGCACACGCUAUAUGCAAACAAGCGGCUCAUACAAGGCUGGGCUUUAGUCA
Molecule: long non-coding RNA, 313 nt
Filed under: Lathyrus oleraceus (garden pea)
Lineage: Eukaryota; Viridiplantae; Streptophyta; Magnoliopsida; Fabales; Fabaceae
Description: Pisum sativum (pea) long non-coding RNA (PSAT_LNC020519)
Source: RNAcentral